UGGAAGGGCCAUCGCUCAACGGAUAAAAGGUACGCCGGGGAUAACAGGCUGAUACUGCCCAAGAGCUCAUAUCGACGGCAGUGUUUGGCACCUCGAUGUCGGCUCAUCUCAUCCUGGGGCUGGAGCAGGUCCCAAGGGUAUGGCUGUUCGCCAUUUAAAGUGGUACGCGAGCUGGGUUUAGAACGUCGUGAGACAGUUCGGUCCCUAUCUGCCGUGGGCGCAAGAGACUUGAGAGGAGCUGCCCCUAGUACGAGAGGACCGGGGUGGACGGACCUCUGGUGGACCUGUUGUGGCGCCAGCCGCAUUGCAGGGUAGCUAUGUCCGGACGGGAUAACCGCUGAAAGCAUCUAAGCGGGAAGCCCCCCUCAAGAUUAGGUCUCUCUGAGAGCCGUGGAAGACCACCACGUUGAUAGGUCAGGUGUGGAAGCGCAGUAAUGUGUGAAGCUAA
Molecule: ribosomal RNA, 448 nt
Filed under: uncultured Cafeteria
Lineage: Eukaryota; Bigyra; Bicosoecida; Cafeteriaceae
Description: sp. partial Bacterial large subunit ribosomal RNA
Rfam family: Bacterial large subunit ribosomal RNA
Source: RNAcentral